Molecule: non-coding RNA, 488 nt
Organism: Macaca mulatta (Rhesus monkey)
Lineage: Eukaryota; Metazoa; Chordata; Mammalia; Primates; Cercopithecidae
Source: RefSeq, a predicted model, not a curated record
GUGAGCAAUGCAAUUCUGGGAAAGUGCAGGCUCUCUGUGUUCUUUCCUCUCUUGCAAACCAUGGGCACCCUUGGGUCCCUUGGGGGUCACUGUGUUACACCUGCUUUUUAUCUCUCUAGGCAGGAGCUGCUCAAGCCACAUCGUACGACACUGAGGAGGACAGCACAUUGCACUCUCACCUCCUUUGCAGUUAAGUGUGAAAUAGUGCCAAUAGAGUGUGAAAGAAAAGAAAGAAGAUGAUUCACCUCCCAAAGAAGGCGAUUCCCCACUGCUGUGUCCCUUCUAUCAACUUGAUUCAAAAAACCAAAAUGGACCCGGGAACCAUGUGUUGAAGAUAGGAGAGCUCCAAAAGAGACUGGAGCCCUGAGUCACCACCUGGAGGAAAACUACCCACCCAUCAGGAAUUUAUACUAUACAAUUGGAAGUUUUUGGGUUACAGCAGCUACUUUAAUUAAAACACCCAGAGACAAGAGUCAUUAUUGCACAAA